Molecule: ribosomal RNA, 1511 nt
Filed under: Lacticaseibacillus casei
Lineage: Bacteria; Bacillati; Bacillota; Bacilli; Lactobacillales; Lactobacillaceae
Description: bacterial SSU rRNA
Rfam family: Bacterial small subunit ribosomal RNA
Source: RNAcentral
GCUCAGGAUGAACGCUGGCGGCGUGCCUAAUACAUGCAAGUCGAACGAGUUCUCGUUGAUGAUCGGUGCUUGCACCGAGAUUCAACAUGGAACGAGUGGCGGACGGGUGAGUAACACGUGGGUAACCUGCCCUUAAGUGGGGGAUAACAUUUGGAAACAGAUGCUAAUACCGCAUAGAUCCAAGAACCGCAUGGUUCUUGGCUGAAAGAUGGCGUAAGCUAUCGCUUUUGGAUGGACCCGCGGCGUAUUAGCUAGUUGGUGAGGUAAUGGCUCACCAAGGCGAUGAUACGUAGCCGAACUGAGAGGUUGAUCGGCCACAUUGGGACUGAGACACGGCCCAAACUCCUACGGGAGGCAGCAGUAGGGAAUCUUCCACAAUGGACGCAAGUCUGAUGGAGCAACGCCGCGUGAGUGAAGAAGGCUUUCGGGUCGUAAAACUCUGUUGUUGGAGAAGAAUGGUCGGCAGAGUAACUGUUGUCGGCGUGACGGUAUCCAACCAGAAAGCCACGGCUAACUACGUGCCAGCAGCCGCGGUAAUACGUAGGUGGCAAGCGUUAUCCGGAUUUAUUGGGCGUAAAGCGAGCGCAGGCGGUUUUUUAAGUCUGAUGUGAAAGCCCUCGGCUUAACCGAGGAAGCGCAUCGGAAACUGGGAAACUUGAGUGCAGAAGAGGACAGUGGAACUCCAUGUGUAGCGGUGAAAUGCGUAGAUAUAUGGAAGAACACCAGUGGCGAAGGCGGCUGUCUGGUCUGUAACUGACGCUGAGGCUCGAAAGCAUGGGUAGCGAACAGGAUUAGAUACCCUGGUAGUCCAUGCCGUAAACGAUGAAUGCUAGGUGUUGGAGGGUUUCCGCCCUUCAGUGCCGCAGCUAACGCAUUAAGCAUUCCGCCUGGGGAGUACGACCGCAAGGUUGAAACUCAAAGGAAUUGACGGGGGCCCGCACAAGCGGUGGAGCAUGUGGUUUAAUUCGAAGCAACGCGAAGAACCUUACCAGGUCUUGACAUCUUUUGAUCACCUGAGAGAUCAGGUUUCCCCUUCGGGGGCAAAAUGACAGGUGGUGCAUGGUUGUCGUCAGCUCGUGUCGUGAGAUGUUGGGUUAAGUCCCGCAACGAGCGCAACCCUUAUGACUAGUUGCCAGCAUUUAGUUGGGCACUCUAGUAAGACUGCCGGUGACAAACCGGAGGAAGGUGGGGAUGACGUCAAAUCAUCAUGCCCCUUAUGACCUGGGCUACACACGUGCUACAAUGGAUGGUACAACGAGUUGCGAGACCGCGAGGUCAAGCUAAUCUCUUAAAGCCAUUCUCAGUUCGGACUGUAGGCUGCAACUCGCCUACACGAAGUCGGAAUCGCUAGUAAUCGCGGAUCAGCACGCCGCGGUGAAUACGUUCCCGGGCCUUGUACACACCGCCCGUCACACCAUGAGAGUUUGUAACACCCGAAGCCGGUGGCGUAACCCUUUUAGGGAGCGAGCCGUCUAAGGUGGGACAAAUGAUUAGGGUGAAGUCGUAACAAG